UAGACAGAAUGAAAAAGUUUUCCCAUUUCAUGACACUCUCACACCCUUUUACUGCAUUACAGGUGGCUUAGAAAUUUCUUAAGAGAGUUCAUACACUACAUGGGUUUCCUGAAUCAAUUAUAUCAGAUAGAGAUAAGAUCUUUCUCAGCAAUUUUUGGCAAGAGUUUUUCAAGUUGGUGGGAACUCAGUUGAAGUUCAGUACUGCCUAUCACCCCCAGAUUGAUGGACAGACUGAAAGAGUUAAUAGAUGUAUUAAAACUUAUCUAAGAUGUAUGACAUCUAGCAGGCCGGUUCAAUGGAAACAAUGGUUUCCCUUAGCAAAAUUUUGGUACAACACUAACUAUCACUGCAGCCUGCAGUAUUCUCCUUUUGAGGCCCUCUAUGGGUAUCCGCCGCCUCAUAUAUCUCUUAGACCCAUGCUUGAUUCUAUAGUACCAGUUGCAGAUGACAUGAUUAUACAGAGGCAACAAUUUCAACAAUUGCUGAAAGACCAUCUCUUUCAAGCUCAAAAUAGGAUGAAGGUUUACGCUGAUCAGAACAGAACUGAGAGAGAAUUUGUGGGGGUGAUCAAGUGUUCCUCAAACUCCAACCGUACAGGCAGACUUCCAUAUCUUUGAGAAGAAACCUUAAGCUCAGCUCCAAAUAUUAUGGUCCUUUCACAGUGUUAGCUAAGGUUGGUCUUGUGGCUUAUAAAUUGGAUCUACCUGCCCCUUCUCGUGUACAUCCUGUAUUCCAUGUUUCUUUACUCAAUAAGAAAGUGGGGUCUCGUGUUAUGAUGCAAACUAAUCUACCAUCCACCAGCUUAGAUGGCCAGUUCUUGGUGAAACCACUAGCUAUAUUACAACGCCAAUUGGUGAAAAAAGGCAAUGGCGCUGUCAAGGUGUUGGUUCAAAGGACCAAUCUACCCCCCUGAAGACUCAACCUUGGAAGACUAUGAUGAAUUGCUAGCUAGGUUCCCUGAUUUUGUUGAUCAACCUUGAGGACAAGGUUUGUUUGUAGGUGGCGGGAAUGUAAUGAACUAGCUAAGUAAAGAAUUAAAUUGGAAGGAGCUGGGAAAUUAAAACACAUGGACGAUCAGGAUUAAUUGUGAAUAAAUGAGAUCCUAUGGUUCAGAUGAAGUUAGGGGAACUUAUAACAAAAUCAAGGGAGAGCUACAGGGUAAUUAACUACCGAUAAUUUUCUCACCUUCCUCUCCGGUUCUCUCUCCCCUUUCAUCACCUUCUCUCUUCUGUUUUUUCUUCCUCCUUCUUCUCAUCUCUAUUCUAAAUCUCAAUUGCAGGUCAUGUCAAUGGAGUCUACAAUGAUUGGAUGUUGGCUACAACAUUAACAAGGCCAUACAGUGACGAAGACAUAUCAAAGGAGAUGGUACUUUCAAGCAAACGGUACGGCACAGUUAGGCGAAUAUUCAUCGUGGCUGCUGAAGAUAAAACUCUAAAGAAGGAAAUCCUAGAGUGGAUGAUAGAAAAGAACCCUCCACAUGAAGUGGAAGAGAUCUCGGGAUCUGAUCACAUGGCCAUGAUAGCUAAUCCCCAACAACUUUUUUCUCUUCUUCUGCGCAUUGCUCACAAGUGACAAGCUUCUUGAUCUGUGGUUUCAUAUUCAAUAAUAAAGUAUAUUGACAUAAAUUUUAAAAAUUGCACUUCAACUUUCCCAUGUAUUUUUGAUACUGUACCAGUUUUUGGGACGUGUGCACCCUGGAUCAAUUGAUUACACAGUUUGUUAUUAAUAACAAUGUAACAUGUUUGAAUUAUAAAAUAAAAAUUGAAGGAUCAACGAUGAAUGUUGAUCAUAUUUGGAUGACAUAUCAAAGGAGAUAGUUAUUUCAAGCAAGAAGUAUGGAUCAGUUAGGCGAGCGUAUAUUGUGGCGGCUGAAGAUAAAGUUCUAUCAAAGGAAUUUCAACAGUUAAUGAUUGAAAAGAAUCCACCAGAUCAGAUGGAAGAGAUUUCAGGAUCUGAUCACGCGCCCAUGAUGUCUAAGCCCGGUCAACUAUUUACUCUUCUUAUGCAUAUUGCCAACAAAUGACAAGCUAUCUUAUUAUCUUAAUCCAGCUUGUAUUACAUAUUCAUGAUGAAUAAUGCGUAACUGAAAUAAAAUUAGAUUACCCUUCUUCC
Long non-coding RNA from Capsicum annuum, 2112 nucleotides. RefSeq lists it as uncharacterized. The record is from RefSeq and is a predicted model, not a curated record. NCBI's taxonomy places the organism in Eukaryota, Viridiplantae, Streptophyta, Magnoliopsida, Solanales, Solanaceae. The transcript has 2 exons.